UACAGAGGUCCCAAGCGUUGUUCGGAUUUACUGGGCGUAAAGGGUGCGUAGGUGGUCGGGUAAGUCUCAUGUGAAAUCCCGCAGCUUAACUGCGGAAUGGCAUGGGAUACUAUUCGGCUCGAGGAUUGGAGGGGGGACUGGAAUUCCAGGUGUAGCAGUGAAAUGCGUAGAUAUCUGGAGGAACACCGGUGGCGAAGGCGGCAUCCUGGACCGGCAUUGACGCUGAGGCGCGAAAGCCAGGGGAGCAAACGGG
Molecule: ribosomal RNA, 253 nt
Filed under: uncultured prokaryote
Description: partial 16S ribosomal RNA
Rfam family: Bacterial small subunit ribosomal RNA
Source: RNAcentral